ACGCGAGGAACCUUACCAGGUCUUGACAUCCCAUUGACCGCUAUGGAGACAUAGCUUUCCCUUCGGGGACAGUGGUGACAGGUGGUGCAUGGUUGUCGUCAGCUCGUGUCGUGAGAUGUUGGGUUAAGUCCCGCAACGAGCGCAACCCUUGAUCUUAGUUGCCAGCAUUCAGUUGGGCACUCUAAGGUGACUGCCGGUGACAAACCGGAGGAAGGUGGGGAUGACGUCAAAUCAUCAUGCCCCUUAUGACCUGGGCUACACACGUACUACAAUGGCCAGUACAACGGGAAGCGAAGCCGCGAGGUGGAGCCAAUCCUAAAAAGCUGGUCUCAGUUCGGAUUGUAGGCUGCAACUCGCCUACAUGAAGCUGGAAUCGCUAGUAAUCGCGGAUCAGCAUGCCGCGGUGAAUACGUUCCCGGGCCUUGCACACACCGCCCGU
Molecule: ribosomal RNA, 439 nt
Filed under: uncultured bacterium
Lineage: Bacteria
Description: bacterial SSU rRNA
Rfam family: Bacterial small subunit ribosomal RNA
Source: RNAcentral